RNAcentral lists this ribosomal RNA (250 nucleotides) under uncultured bacterium. Its description in RNAcentral is "partial 16S ribosomal RNA". It matches the Rfam family "Bacterial small subunit ribosomal RNA", at positions 29 to 306 of the family's 1533-position model. The record is from RNAcentral.
AACGAACGCUGGCGGCAUGCCUAACACAUGCAAGUCGAACGAGACCUUCGGGUCUAGUGGCGCACGGGUGCGUAACGCGUGGGAACCUGCCUUUAGGUUCGGAAUAACUCAGAGAAAUUUGAGCUAAUACCGAAUAAUGUCUUCGGACCAAAGAUUUAUCGCCUUUAGAUGGGCCCGCGUUGGAUUAGCUAGUUGGUGGGGUAAAGGCCUACCAAGGCGACGAUCCAUAGCUGGUCUUAGAGGAUGAUCA